RNA transcript from Mirounga angustirostris (Northern elephant seal), 8449 nucleotides. It is a transcript of the gene named high mobility group protein B1-like, with no coding region annotated. The record is from RefSeq and is a predicted model, not a curated record. The transcript has 2 exons. NCBI's taxonomy places the organism in Eukaryota, Metazoa, Chordata, Mammalia, Carnivora, Phocidae.
AUGGGCAAAGGAGAUCCGAAGAAGCCGAGAGGCAAAAUGUCAUCAUAUGCAUUCUUUGUGCAAACUUGCCAAGAGGAGCACAAGAAGAAGCACCCAGAUGGCUUCAGUCAACUUCUCAGAGUUUUCUAAGAAGUGCUCAGAAAGGUGGAACACCAUGUCUGCUAAAGAGAAAGGAAAAUUUGAAGACAUGGCAAAGGCGGACAAGACCCGUUAUGAAAGAGAAAUGAAAACUUAUAUCCCCCCUAAAGGGGAAACAAAAAAGAAGUUCAAGGAUCCCAAUGCACCCUCCUUUGGCCUUUUUCUUGUUUUGUUCUGAGUAUCGCCCAAAAAUCAAAGGAGAACAUCCCGGCCUAUCCAUUGGUGAUGUUGCAAAGAAACUGGGAGAGAUGUGGAAUAACACUGCUACAGAUGACAAGCAGCCUUAUGAAAAGAAGGCUGCUCAGCUGAAGGAAAAAUAUGAAAAGGAUAUUGCUGCAUACCGAGCUAAAGGAAAGCCUGAUGCGGCAAAAAAGGGAGUUGUCAAGGCUGAAAAGAGCAAGAAAAGGAAGAAGGGGCACCUGGGUGGCUCAAAGGAAGAGGAGGAAGAUGAAGAUGAAGAAGAGGAGGAGGAGGAUGAGAAGAUGAAGAAGAAGAUGAUGAUGAAUAAGUUGGUUCUAGCACAGUUUUUUUUUCUUGUCUAUAAAGCAUUUAACCCCCCUGUACACAACUCACUCCUUUUAAAGAAAAAAAUUGAAAUGUAAGGCUGUGUAAGAUUUGUUUUUAAACUGUACAGUGUCUUUCUUUGUAUAGUUAACACACUACCGAAUGUGUCUUUAGAUAGCCCUGUCCUGGUGGUAUUUUCAGUAGCCACUAACCUUGCCUGGUGCAGUAUGGGGGUUGUAAAUUGGCAUGGAAAUUUAAAGCAGGUUCUUGUUGGUGCACAGCACAAAUUAGUUAUAUAUGGGGAUGGUAGUUUUUCAUCUUCAGUUGUCUCUGAUGCAGCUUCUACGAAAUAAUUAUUGUUCUGUUAACUGAAUACCACUCUGUAAUUGCAAAAAAAAAAAAAAAAAAGUUGCAGCUCUUUUGUUGACAUUCUGAAUGCUUCUAAGUAAAUACAAUUUUUUUUUAUUAGAAAAAAAACCAAAACAGUGAACUGGGCCAGGGUGGCUCAGUCGUUGGGUGUCUGCCUUCGGCUGGGGUCGUGAUCCCGGAGUCCUGGAUUCGAGCCCAGCAUAGGGCUCCUUGCUCCGGGGGAGGCCUGCUUCUCCCUCUCCCACUCCCCCUGCUUGUGUUCCCUUUCUCGCUGUCUCUCUCUUUGUCAAAUAAAUAAAUAAAAUCUUUAAAAAAAAAUAUAUUGAACUGAAUGAAAAUGAAACUAUAGCAUAUCAGAAAAUAACAGGUAAUUCAGGUACAGAGAGGGAAAUGUAUAGCAUUAAAUGCCUACAAUAGAAUAGAAGUCUCAAAGCAAGAAUCUUAGCUCCCACCUCAGAAACCCAAAGCAAAUAGAAGAAAUAAUAAAGGUAAGAGCAGAAAUCAGUGAAAUUGAAAACAGGAAAAUUAUGAUAGAGAAAAUGAAUGAAACACUGUGUUUUUUCAAGGUCAUUAAAACUGAGAAACCUCUGUCAAGAUUGACCAAAGAGAGAAGGCAGAGAUUACCUUACCAGUAUCAGAAACAAAACAGAACAUAAAACUACAGAUCUUGCAGACAUCAAAGGAACAAUACAUAAAUAUAAUAAAUCACAUAAAAUGGACAAAAAAACACAGACUACUACAACUCACCUAAUGUGAGAUAGAUUAUUAUUUUUUUUUAAUUUGACUCUUUUUUUUUUUUUAAGGUUUUAUUUAUUUGUCAGAGAGAGAGAAUGAGCACAAGCAGGGGGAGCGGCAGGCAGGGGAAGAAGCAAACUCCCUUCUGAGCAGGGAGCCCGAUGCGGUACUUGAUUCCAGGACCCUGGGAUCAUGACCUGAGCCAAAGGCAGACGCUUAGCCAACUGAGCCACCCAGGUGUCCCUGAGAUAGAUUAUUUGAAUAGUCCUAUAUAAUUAUGAAGGAAAUUUGAAUUCAUAAUUUUAAAAUUCCCUAAAAGGAAAUCUCUCUGUCCAGAUGGUUUCACUGGAGAAUUCUACCAAACAUACAAUCACUCAUUCAUUUCUUUUUUUCAAACAUUUAAAGAAAGAAUGAACACCAAUUCUACAACAUCUUUUCCAAAAAAAAAAAGAAGAAAUGGGACAUUUCCCUAUUUAUUUUAUGAAGCUUAUAUUACACUGAUAACCAAAACCAAAGAAAGUACCAAAAAAAAGUACAGACUGAUACCUCUUAUUAUGUAUAAGCAGAAUUCCUUAACAGAGUAUCAACAAAUAGAAUUUCAACAAUAUAUGAAAUCAUACCCAUGUACAUACAUAAAGUAUAUAUAUCAUGGCCAAAUGGAAUUUAUUCCAGGGAUGCAAGGCUGGUUCAGUAUUUGAAAACCAGUCGAUAUAUUGGGCGCCUGGGUGGCUCAGUCGUUAAACGUCUGCCUUCGGCUCAGGUCAUGAUCCCAGGGUCCUGGGAUCGAGUCCCACAUCGGGCUCCCUGCUCAGCGGGAAGCCUGCUUCUCCCUCUCCCACUCCCCCUGCUUGUAUUCCUGCUCUCGCUGUCUCUCUCUGUCAAAUAAAUAAAUAAAAUCUUUAAAAAAAAAAAAAAGAAAGAAAAAACCAGUCGAUAUAAUCUCCAUUUUAAUUAGGUGAAGAAAUAAAACCACAUUGUAGCAAUUAAUGCAGAAAAAGCAUUUGACAAAAUUUAACACCUGUACAUGUUUUAAAACUUAAAAAAAAAGGAAUUGAAGAAUACUUCCUCAGCUCGUUAGAAAGCAUCUACAAGGGUGCCUGGGUGGCUCAGUCGUUGAGCGUCUGCCUUUGGCUCAGGUCAUGAUUCCAAGGUCCUGGGAUAGAGUCCUGCAUCAGGCUCCCUGCUCCGUGGGAAGCCUGCUUCUCCCUCUCCCGCUCCCCUUGCUUGUGUUUCCUCUCUGGCUGUCUCUCUCCCUGUCAAAUAAAUAAAAUAUAUAUAUUUUUUAAAUCUACAAAACAACCCACAGCUAACAUUACACUUAUGAUGAAAGGCUAAAUGCUUUUAGUCCUUGAUUGGGAACAAGGCAAGGAUGUCUGCUCUCACCAUUUAAGAUAUUGGUGGGAAGUUCUAGUUAGUGCAAUAAAGCAGGAAAGGGAAAUAAAGGCAGACAACUCAGAAAGGAAGAAAUAAAACUUUUUAUUUGUGACUGACAUGAUUGUCUCUAGGAAAUCCCAAGGAAUUUACACACACACACACACACACAAACUAGUUAAUAAAUGAGUUCAAGAAAAUUACAGGAUACAGGGUGCUUGGGUGGCUCAGUCGUUAAGUUUCUGCCUUUGGCUCAGGUCAUGAUCCCAGGGUCCUGAGACUGAGCCCCACAUCGGGCUCCUUGCUCCGUGGGAAACCUGCUUCUCCCUCUCCCACUCCCUCUGCUUGUGUUCCCUCUCUCAGUGUGUCUCUUUCUGUCAAAUAAAUAAAAUCUUAAAAAAAAAAAAUUACAGGAUACAAGACAAAUAUAUAAAAAUCUAUUAUAUAUAUGGGGCUCCUGGCUGGCUCAGUCAGUAGAGCAUGUGACUCUUGAUCUCAGAGUUGUGAGUUUGAGCCCCAUGUUGGGCACAGAGUUUACUUUUUAAAAAAAUCUAUUUGUGUAUAUAGCAAUGAACACCAAAAUUUAAAAUACAAUGCCAUCUAUAAUCUCACAAAAAGAAAAUGAAAUACCUAGGUAUAAAUCUAAAAAUAACAUACAGAACAGGACAUAUAUGCUAAAAACUGCAAAAUGCUAAUGAAAUAAAGAUAUAAAUAAAUGAAGAGAUAUACAAUGUUCAUUGUUUGGAGUACUCAAUCUAAUAAAGAUGUCACUUCUUCACAGAUUGAUAAAGAGGUUUAAUCCAAUACCUAUCAAAGUUCCAGUAAGAUUUUUUGGUAGGUAUCUGACAGUAUUGUUAUAAAAUAUAGAUAGAGGGGCAGAGGACCUGGAAUAGCUAAAACAAUUUUGAAAAAGAAUAAAGUAGGGGAAUCACUCUUUGAUUUCAAGCCUUAACGUAGACUGUGUGAUAUCAGUAAAGGAAUAGAUACUUAACAGCAGUGGGACAGAAUAGAGAAACAAUAAAUAGACCCACGCAGAUAUGCCCAAAUAAUUUAACAGAGGUGCAGAAACAACUUAUAGAGGAAGAUAAGCAUUUCAGUUAAAUGGUGCUCCAGCAAUUGGACAUUCAUAGACAAAAUAAAUGAACCGAGUCUCACAUCUUAUACAAAAACUAAAAACAGAUCAUGGAGUUAAAUGUAAAACAUUUAGCUAUUUAUCUUUUGGGGGGGGGGAGGAGAAAGUCUUCAGGAUGUAGUGAUAGACAUGCUUGUCACUAAAAGCAUGAUCCAUAAAAGGAAAAAUUGAUAAGUUUGCCUUUUCAAACUUUUGCUCUAUGAAUGAGCCUGGUAAAAAGAUGAAAAUGCAGGCUACAGACUGGGAGAAAAUACUUGUAAACCAAAUACCAACAAAGGACUAGUAUCUAGAAUAAAAAACUCGCAAAACUCAAUAGUUUAAAAAAAAAAUCAGUCCAAUUAGAAAACGGGCAAAAGACAUGACCAGAGAUUUCAUCAAAAAGGACAUAUAAGAGGCAUAUAAGCACUCGAAAAGAUACUCAACAUCAACCAGCUGUUAGGAAAAUGCAACUUAAGACCUCUAUGAGAUAUCACUAUACGUCCGUCAGAAUGGUUAAAAUUUAAAAAAGUGACAACACCAAAUGCUGGCAAGGAUAUGGAGAAACAGAUCACUCAUACAUUGCUGGUGGGAAUGUAAAAUGAUAGGGCCACUCUAGAAACAGUUUGACAGUUUCUUUAAAAACUGUACAUUCAGGGACACCUAACUGGCUCAGUCAGUAGCGCAUGCAACUCUUGACCUCAGGGUCAUGAGUUCAGGCCCCACAUUUGGGGUGGAGUUUACAUAAUAAAUAAAAUGUUAAAAAAAAAAAAAAGGAAAGAGAGAAACUAGACAUUCACCUACCAUGCUACCUAGCAGUUGCACAUCUGAGCAUUUAUCCCAGAGAAACAAAGAUUUCUGUUUACCCAGAAACCAGUACACAGAUGUUCAUAGCAUCUUUAUUCACAAUAUGGCCAAACAGUGAAAACAACCUAGAUGUCCUUCUACGGAUGAAUAGUUCGACAAAGUUACAUAGUACAUCCACACUACAGAAUACUACUCAACAGUAAAAAGGGAUGAACUAUUGAUACAUGCAACAACCUAGAUGAGUCUCCAGAAAACUAUGCUUAGUGAAUAAAGUCAAACCCAAAAGAUUGCAUACCAUAUGGUUCUAUUUGUGACUUUCUUGAAAUGACAAAAUUAGAGAAAUGGAGAACAGGUUAGUCAUGGCCAGGUUUAAGAGGGGGUGUCAGGGUGGAAGGAAAGUGGGUAUGUUUAUAAAAAGACCAACACGAGGGAUCCUUAUAAUGAAAUGUUCUGUAUCACUUAUCAACAUUUUGAUUGUAACAAUGUGCUAUACGUUUCCAAGAUACUACCAUUAGAGGAAACCAGGUAAAGGUUACACAAGAUCUCUCUGUAUUCUUUCUUAAACCUGCAUGUGAAUCUAUAGUUACCUCAGAAAGUUUGAUCAGAACACAAUAAUAAUAAUAACCACACACAAACAACUUUAAAGUUAACCUGUUGUUAAAAAUCACAGUGGCAAUUUUUUUUUUAAUUAAAGAUUAAGAAGCCUCACAGUUGUAUUAUAAUAAAAUACCAGUGUGAGAAUAUGGAGCAUAGUUAUAAAAGCUUAAGUGAUAUUUUUUGAAUUUCCAAAAACACAAUUUCUUUUUCAAAAUAUUAAGUUACUAAUUUUUUAAGUAUGGCUCUUUGGUGAGUCUCUGUCACAUUUUUGCACAAAGCAAAUUUUUUUUUUUUUUACAACAACCAGGUUUUUCCAUGCUGAAUAUUAUGUUUUAGCUUAUGCCUAACAAAUAAUAAAGUCAUUGUUGAGAUUUUUAUUAUGCAUACAUAGACUUUCUUAGUAAGAUUGUUCAGAAGUAACUGAAGAAAAUUAUACUAAUAUUCAUAAAAGAGACAGCUGAGCUAUAUAGAAUAAGAAAGACCUGGUUGGAAGAUAAUAAUGAGUUUUAUGUGGAGCAAAGUAACUAAGGGAAGAACUCCAAAAUUGGGCAAAACAUUAGAUGUUUUGCACUUUCAUAAAUAAUCUAGUAUUUUUUUUUAAACAAACUGACUUCAUUCAUGACCUUUUCUGCAUGUCAGACGUUAAAACCCAAUUAAGUACAUCAUUAAGUAAAGAGAAUUUAUAGAACAGUAUAUGUUUAUGCAUUUUUCUACAUCACCCAUAUUAAAGCAUUUUGGUCAGUUCACAGUAAGGUUGGUGGUGCUAUUUUAAAUCAAUUUAAAUAGUUGUCACCACUUAAAAAAGUAAAAAGGUAAAUCCAUAUAUCUACCAUCUGUCAUCUGGCUUCAGAAGUUAUCACCAUUUUGACGAUGUUUUUUAUUAUGUCCUCUUUUUUUUUUAAAGGAAAUUCCAGAAAUAUUUUACCUAUAAAUAUUUCAGUGGCAAUAAUUUAAAAAACAUACAACCAUGAUACAUCGUCCUAUACUGUACUCACCUUUGUGAUGAUGUGAGACAGUACAAUGCCUGUGUUAUAAGAUGAAAUGAGGUGCAUGACGUAGGCAUUGUGGUGUAGCGUUAGGCUGCUCUUGACCUAACUGUACAUCAGAAGGAGGAUCAUCUGCUUCUGGAGCAUGGUUGACCGAGGGUAAUAGAAACCAUGGAAAGCAGAACCAUGGAUAAGGGGGACUACUGUAUGUGAAAAAAUAGAAUGAUUUAUACAGAGCCAGUGUCCUGAUCAUGGACCAUUUGACUAAAAGUUCUUUUUAGAAAUUUAAACCUAGGGGCACCUGGGUGGACCAGUCGGUUAAGCAUCUGCCUUUGGCUCAGGUCAUGAUCCCAGUGUCCUGGGAUUGAGCCCUGCAGCGGGCUCCUUGCCCAGCUGGGAGUCUGCUGCUCCCCCUGCUUGUGCGCACACGUGCUCACUUUCUCCCUCUCUCUGACAAAUAAAUGGAAUCUUAAAAAAAAAAAUUUUUUUUAAACUACAUCAUUAUUCAUUAAGGUUAAACCUGAUGGAGUGAUGAUUCCUUUCUGUUUAUUAACUAGACCUGUUGCCUUUUGCUGUUAUGCUGCAAUCUAUUUUUAUAUUUUAAUCAAGAUCUAGUUACUAUAGUGCCAAAUAGAGACCAUGAAGUUUUUAACUCUUAUACUUCCCUGGAAGAGAUUGGUUAAUUUGCAGCAUCAGAUGACAGCAUUUUUCCAACAUUAGUUGUGUUGUUGCUGGAAGUAAGUUUACUAUUAGUCCAUGGAUUUACUACUCAGUUAAAUGAUUUCAUCUAUGAAGGAUCUUUUGAGGGGAAGAACAGCCAAACUGGUGUUAGAGAAAAAUGCAUAGGAUAGCUCCCCACAACAAAGAAUUGUCUGGUGUAAAUAUCAGUAGUAUCGAGGUUGAAAAACACUGAGCCAGAAUAACAGGAUACAGUUAAAAUCAGUGAAGUGAAGCACGAACAACUCUGUGUCAUACAUGAAUCCUCUUUAUUCAUUUAGAAGUAGGUGGGAUGGUGUAUGAUGAUCUUCAAAAUGCUUUAUUUCAGAGGGCCUGGGUGGCUCAGUCGGUUAAGCGUCUGCCUUCUUGUCCUUCUACCCCUUCCCCCACCAAUCAUGCUCUUUCUCGCUUGUGCUCUCUCUCUCAAAUAAAUCUUCUUUAAAAAUGCUUUAUUUCAGAAGCUCCUGGGUGGCUUAGUUGAUUAAGUAUCUGACUCUUGAUUUCAACUCAGGUCAUGAUCUCAGGGUGGUGAGAUUGAGGCCCCUCUCCCCCCCGGCCCCAAUCAGGCUCCAGGCUCAGUGCAGAGUCUGCUUGAGAUUCUCUCUCUCCCUCUGCUCCCCUCACCCCCGUGUGCACACGCUCACUUUUGCUCGCUCACUCUAAAAUAAAAUCUUUUUUAAAAAGUGCUUUAUUUCAGUGACAGUCUGGGGAGAGAGUGAGGACAGAGUGCUAUUAGAAAGUGACACCACUUCUGCUUCUGUUUGAUGGGCUCUCUCUGACCUUUGACCACUAAUACCAUCAUUCAGCACUGCUCUACUUAAAAUACUUGAACUUUAUUUUUUCCUUAACUCCACCCUCUCCGAUACCAACUGUUUUGCUCUUACCUGAAUUUAUGCUGCUGAUCUUCAGCUGGGAUCUUAAAUUUAAAAUGAUACCAAGACUGUACUUUCAAAUAUUAUUUUUGGGGGGCACCUGGAUGGCUCAGUCAGUUAAGCAUCUGACUCUUGAUUUCAGCCCAGGUCAUGAUCUCAGGGUUGUGAGAUUGAGUCCCACAUCAGGCUCCAUACUGGGCAUGAGCCUGCCUGGGAUUCUCGCUCUCCCUUUCCCUCUGCCCCUC